CACGUAGUUAGCCGGGGCUUCUUAGUCAGGUACCGUCUGGCGACCCAAAGGUCGCUAUUUCUUCCCUGCUGAUAGAGCUUUGCAUACCGAAAUACUUCUUCACUCACGCGGCGUCGCUGCAUCAGGGUUUCCCCCAUUGUGCAAUAUUCCCCACUGCUGCCUCCCGUAGGAGUUUGGGCCGUGUCUCAGUCCCAAUGUGGCCGUUCACCCUCUCAGGCCGGCUACUGAUCGUCGCCUUGGUGAGCCAUUACCCCGCCAACAAGCUAAUCAGACGCGGAACCAUCGUAUACCACCAGAGUUUUUCACACCACUUCAUGCGAAGCUGUGCGCUUAUGCGGUAUUAGCACCUAUUUCUAAGUGUUAUCCCCCAGUAUACGGCAGGUUUUCCACGCGUUACUCACCCGUCCGCCACUAACUCAUAAAUCACUAGGUUUCAAUAUGAGUCCGUUCGACUUGCAUGUGUUAAGCACGCCGCCAGCGUUCAUCCUGAGCCAGGAUA
RNAcentral lists this ribosomal RNA (499 nucleotides) under uncultured Lachnospiraceae bacterium. RNAcentral describes it as "partial 16S ribosomal RNA". Lineage: Bacteria; Bacillati; Bacillota; Clostridia; Lachnospirales; Lachnospiraceae. The record is from RNAcentral.